RNAcentral lists this long non-coding RNA (692 nucleotides) under Heterocephalus glaber (naked mole-rat). RNAcentral describes it as "lncRNA (ENSHGLG00100045660.1)". Lineage: Eukaryota; Metazoa; Chordata; Mammalia; Rodentia; Bathyergidae. The record is from RNAcentral.
UACUCGUGAGUGCUAGGACAACGGGCACAGUAAUCUUUGUGUCUCCAUUUACAGUCCCUUCGUAUUCUGCGUAUGGUUUGGCCCUGAAGACUCUCAGGCCCACUCUGUAUCGAGUAGUAAAAAGCCCCCUAUGGGCCCGUGAGUCCACCUUGGCGUGUGCCUGUGAAAUGGGCCGCAGUCCCCAUCCCCGCCUGUGUCUGCUUCACAGCUGAGCCCUGGUGCACACUGGUAGUCACUGUGCUGCUCCACAUCAUACAGGCUGUCACACCGCCUCGCCUUGGAUUCUUGCAGUGGUUAUAGCAUCUGUUGAUAAUUACAGCUUGAAUCCGUUCUUACUUGGAAGAAGAGUAUUUGGAAACCAAGAUCUAGGACCCGUGAAGACAUUUCCAUCAUCUCAAAGUGUUCUCUUGUGUCACAUUCCGGUCUGUCCCUCGCUGCAGCCCCAGGCUCUCACUCCUCUCCUGUCACCGUGGAUUGAGCGAAACUCAUGUCUAGACUUCUCUGUCACCUGAGUCAUGUUGGGUGUACUCUUUUGUGUUAGGCUUCUUCUCUUCAGCAUGUUUCGAUAUUCACCUGUAUUGUAUUUAUCAGGAGUCCAUCCCUUUUUAUUUCUGCACAUAUGCUACUGUCUCGAAGUGCAUUAAGUGGACAUUUGGUUGUUCCCAGCUGUUACAAAUAAAGUUGCCGUGAAC